GACGAACGCUGGCGGCGCGCCUAACACAUGCAAGUCGAGCGAGAAGCCGAGGGCUUGCCCUUGGUGGACAGCGGCGAACGGGUGAGUAACACGUGAGCAACCUGCCCCGAAGACCGGGAUAACACCGGGAAACCGGUGCUAAUACCGGAUGCCCUCUCCGGACCGCAUGAUCCGGCGAGGAAAGGAUUUAUCGCUUCGGGAUGGAUUCGCGUCCUAUCAGCUUGUUGGUGGGGUAACGGCCCACCAAGGCAACGACGGGUAGCUGGUCUGAGAGGAUGUCCAGCCACACUGGGACUGAGACACGGCCCAGACUCCUACGGGAGGCAGCAGUGGGGAAUCUUGCGCAAUGGACGAAAGUCUGACGCAGCGACGCCGCGUGGGGAUGAAGGUCUUCGGAUUGUAAACCCCUUUCGGGAGGGAAGAUGGAACGAGCAAUCGUUCGGACGGUACCUCCAGAAGCAGCCACGGCUAACUUCGUGCCAGCAGCCGC
This 490-nucleotide ribosomal RNA is filed under the name uncultured bacterium. RNAcentral's name for it is "bacterial SSU rRNA". It matches the Rfam family "Bacterial small subunit ribosomal RNA", at positions 28 to 518 of the family's 1533-position model. The record is from RNAcentral.